AACGAACGCUGGCGGCAUGCCUAACACAUGCAAGUCGAACGAAGCCUUCGGGCUUAGUGGCGCACGGGUGCGUAACGCGUGGGAAUCUGCCCUUGGGUUCGGAAUAACAGUUAGAAAUGACUGCUAAUACCGAAUGAUGUCUUCGGACCAAAGAUUUAUCGCCCAAGGAUGAGCCCGCGUCGGAUUAGCUAGUUGGUGAGGUAAAGGCUCACCAAGGCGACGAUCCGUAGCUGGUCUGAGAGGAUGAUCAGCCACACUGGGACUGAGACACGGCCCAGACUCCUACGGGAGGCAGCAGUGGGGAAUAUUGGACAAUGGGCGAAGCCUGAUCCAGCAAUGCCGCGUGAGUGAUGAAGGCCUUAGGGUUGUAAAGCUCUUUACCCGGGAUGAUAAUGACAGUACCGGAGAAUAAGCCCCGGACUAACU
Molecule: ribosomal RNA, 426 nt
Filed under: uncultured bacterium
Lineage: Bacteria
Description: bacterial SSU rRNA
Rfam family: Bacterial small subunit ribosomal RNA
Source: RNAcentral